Molecule: long non-coding RNA, 1191 nt
Filed under: Anas platyrhynchos platyrhynchos (common mallard)
Lineage: Eukaryota; Metazoa; Chordata; Aves; Anseriformes; Anatidae
Description: lncRNA (ENSAPLG00000016547.1)
Source: RNAcentral
GUGAAGUCCUGUGGCGGGCAGGGGGUGGCAACGGGGCAACCGCGGGGCACGGGGGGCCAAGGGGGGGCCAGCUCUGCCACCAAACGCUUCUCCAGGUACCUGCAAGACAGAGAGGGGCGUGAAGGGCGCCGCGCACAGGGGCUGGGGGCACGGGACGGAGCCCACCCCCCCCUCCCCCCACCACCGCCACCCCGCUGGCCCUACUCACGCGUACUCCCCGGCGAAGCUCCGGUAGGUCCAGGGGGACGCGGGCCGGCACCCCGCGGCCAUGCCGGUGGCCGGGCUGCAACACGAGACCGUGUUGAUCUCCACCAGCAGCAGCUUGGUCCGCUCGCAGAUCCGCAGGCGCCCCGCGCCCCGUUCCGGGCCACCCAGCAUAGCCCGGAGAACCGGAGGCUGCCGGUGCUGGGGGGCCAGGGGGGGCCCGGCGCUGCCGCCUCGGUGGAGCCUCGGCGGAGCCACGCGCCCGCCCGCACAGGCGCAGCCACCGCCGCACGUGCACCCCCCCGGACCCCCGAGCCACCCGGUGGCACCGCCAGGCCGGGGGGAUGCAGGGCACGGCCCCGCCAGGGUGUGUGGGUCCCGGUGUCGCCGGCUGUCCCAGGGGGGGGCCAAACGUGUCCCCCACACCCUCACCCCCCCCGGGAUCCCUUCCCCCCCUGCGACAGCGCGAGGCGAUUGCCGGGUUUGGCACCGAGCGCUGCAGCCCACGCGGGCUCGGAGCGGAGCUUAGCAACCCUCCGGCGGCGGCAUGGCAACGGCACCGGCACCGGCACCAGCCCCCGGUACGGCACUCGGCUCCCUUGGCCCCCCCCUGGGCUCCCCCCGCGGCCCUCACCUCGUAACGCUGCGCCGGACCCCGCGCCGGACCCCGGAGCUGGCGGUGGCAGGGGCUGCGCUCGGCCUCCCCCCCGGCCGGGAAUGUGCCACGCUCAGCAUGGCCAAGCCUCGCACCUCCCCCGGGCAGCACCGACGGCAGAUCCUGGCGUUGGGGUGGCCGGUGACCCCCCCACAAGCCCUGUGGGGACCCCCAGGGGGUCGCAGCCCCCCACCGGACUCCGCUGCCUUUCCUCAGUCCCGGUUCCCCCCUUAGCUCAGCGCCGGGAGGGUCCCCGCAGCCUGCCUGCUCCCCGUCCCAUCCCCAAUCCCGGCCUUUUAGAAAAGCCACGGGCGGAACAAACAGGGAUUUAG